Molecule: non-coding RNA, 1965 nt
Organism: Heterocephalus glaber (naked mole-rat)
Lineage: Eukaryota; Metazoa; Chordata; Mammalia; Rodentia; Bathyergidae
Source: RefSeq, a predicted model, not a curated record
UCUGAAGCCUAACUGAGGAUAUAUUCAAAGAGCACCCGCGGCAGGUUUUCCUUCCUCAGAUCCCGCCAGCUGGCAACAUUUACCGCCUAAGACCCAAGUGGGAGUCUCUUUAACCUGUUUCCAGGCCAGCGUUCGGGUUGUGUAGAGAGCUGCAUCGGGCCUGUGCAGGUUUAUCUGGGUUUUAGUUAAUACAUGAUGCAAAUUCGAGAGAACUAAAAGAUUUUCGGUGAAAACUCUUUUUCCUCUCCUCGACCCAAGUCGCCCAUUUGCCUCUGCUGAAGAGAGAAAAAAGUCAGGAAGCUAAUGAGACUCAAAAUAGCCUCCAGAGCUCUGUGAUUCAGCUUAACAUUGGGUGGCACCAAGGAAAGAACGAGGCUGUUAAUGCUAUUCAGUGGUGACUCAGUGGCUCAUGCAUGAUGUGAAGGAUAAGGAAAACUCACCCUCACCAAGGAAUAUUUUUCCCAAAGGAUGUGUACAAGGGCCCACGUUUCCUUUGAGCUCAAGUAUUUAUUUGAUUGUUUUGUGUUGAAAGGGAAAUCAUGCACAUGCUACAAGAUGCAAAAGAAACUAAAAGAUCUGGAGCAAAAGAGCAGACUGUGUUCAAAGUGACCAGAUGUGGAUCGUGUGCAAAAGAAAGCCAGUGUGGGGCCAUCUUGGACUUUGCCUGAGAGGACCACCCUAGGAAGCAAGAGAAAGAAGAAAGAAACUGGAAGUGGAAUCCACAAUACCCAGGGACUCUGGGUGCAGCCAUGAGCAAUCAGCCAAAAUAGGAAUGCAUUUGCUCAUGUCGGGGAAAUGGAAGGGAGCAGUCUACAUUACUGGGGGUCUCCAAAGAACACCAGGAAAACCCCUCAAGAGAAAGUCAGCUUUGCCUUCCACCCAGUGCAGGGAGGACUGCUCACUACCUAUCACAGGGACUGAGAACUUUACUGCUUCCUGUUACCUUUCCUCCAGCCCUGCACCUAGACCCUAAGGAGUAGGAAUAAGUGGAUAAUUAGAAGGACUGAAAGCCGCCUAGAACAUCUCAUUCCCCAACUCCAGGUCUAAGGAGAGGAGGGGAAGACAAUGCUAAGUCACGUUAAACAUGGUUAUUAUUACAUGGUGAUUGGGCAUCUUAAUUUUCAAAUUGAGAUCAUAGUUUGUCAAUUAAAAUGAGUAAGUUUCCUAAAAGGAAACAGAAAAGCCAUAGGGCCUGCCUACGUUCAUCCAGUGGCAGAGAAAUUCUCCCCCCAGGACAGAUUUUAGAGAAGGCAUAAAUUAAAUUGUACAUUGUUUGAGAUGUAUUUGUUCAAACAGAUGGAUAGUAAGUUCUAAGGGGUCAGGGCUUAUGCCAAGAAACGCUGAACUAUUGUAUGCCCAUGUUGCUCACCAUCAUUUCCACCCAAUUUUGUCCAGCAUCAUAAUAUAGUAGCAGCUACUGUUUUGAAGCAGUGACUGUGUUAGGCACUGACAAGACACUUUGUGUGUAUCAUCUCAUUUAAUAUUCUGUUACCUGAUGAAAUAAUUUCCUUCCAUUCUCUAGACGAAGAAACGUAGAUACAGAGGUUUUUCUAGCUCCAACGCUUUGCUUCUAAGCCAUCCUGUGUGUCCCUCUUUCAGAAUCAGAUGAGCUGUUCUGGGUCCCUUCAGUGCCCAGUGCUCCUUCCAGCCGCAGAGGCACACAGGUCGGUAACCUGUCUUUCCUCUGCAUGUGGAUCUCACAGAGUCUGAACUCAGCCCAAAUUAGAUCCCGUGAGCUCAGCAUAGUGCCUUGGUACACAGCUGACACUCGAUAGGUUGCUACUGCUGAUAGCAAUAACACAUAGACACUCACUUAGACAAAUGUGUGGGCUUUGAGGUUAAACCUUGACUACCUAACUCGCUACUUACUAGCUGUGUGGUCUUGAAUAAAUUACUGUACUCUCUUUGAAUCUCAGUUUUCUUCUGGGAAAUGGGUUGAUAAUGGCUCUGCGAGAGUGCGUUUGG